GGAAAGGAGAGCCAGAGUGAGGAAUAUGGAUGGGUGGGUACUGCCGAAUACGAGCCCUGAAGCCAGCAUUCCUUGUUAGUGAUAUUUGGAGGUGAGUGCCAAUCCCUUUGAAGCCAAAAGAGGACCAACCACACACAACAUGGAGAGAAGACUUUCAUCUUCAUCUGACUUCCACUAUCCUCUUUGGCAAGGUCACCACAAGCAUCUCCAAUAGCCCUCUGCAGUCAACACAUGCCACAACCCCAUACUAGCUUCUGUCCAGCAACAAACUCUUGUCAUCGACAUGAACUUCUAUUCAUGCUAUUAGAUCUGAGUGAUUUAUACGCAUAACUCAUUGCAGAAGAGUAAGAAGAAAGGAACUGGCAUCUCCUGUCAGUUGUGCCAAAGGAGGAAGAGAUCCUGAAUAAAUGACUGGAUGCUCAGAAAUAAUACCAAUGGGAUGGAUACCUUGGGAUAUCUGAGGCCUGGUGAUCCAUGCCACAAAAUGAGGUGGUUAAAAUCUGGUAGAUUCCUACCAGUAGAUGGUACCAUUUCAAAACAAGAGGUAAGGGCACCAACCUCCAGCAAGUGAAAAUUGCACAUCAGAUGUGCUACUUCUCUGACAGCUCUCUGUUUGCAGAGAAGGUUUUCAUUUUUUUCUCAUGUAUGGGAAACUUCAAAGGUGUGAUCCUCACCUGCAGCCUGAAAUGGUGCAGCCCACUCACAUCAGUCAGCUGCAUGUGUAGACUGAACCUCAAGAAAGAAGAGAGCAUUGGGGACUUCCGGGAAGGGUGACUUAGCCUGUGCCUGCUUUUGAGACGGGCUCCUGCCUCAAAAGAAGCUUAUUCAGAUAUAUCAGUCAGUUUUUUCUUUUUUUUUUGACUGAUUAAACUUCUCCCGGGUAGGGAGAAACGAAGAGAUUAACCUCAAAGCCUAUUUUU
This is a long non-coding RNA of Rhineura floridana, 920 nucleotides long. RefSeq lists it as uncharacterized. NCBI's taxonomy places the organism in Eukaryota, Metazoa, Chordata, Lepidosauria, Squamata, Rhineuridae. The transcript is spliced from 4 exons. The record is from RefSeq and is a predicted model, not a curated record.